UAAACACACUUUGAGAAAGCAAACAUGUUUUGUUUAUAUUCACAUUGCUUGUAGUUUAUUCGCCUUGGAACACAACUCUCAAACUUUUGUGAAUCUAUUAUCUAAAUAUCACCUAUUUCCAAAAAAAAAUGCAAGUGUCCAAAAAGUAUUUAUUGUAAGUGUGCAACACGUAUCACUGUUUUAAAUGUAGAGGAAUCAGGUAUGAAAAAAAUUGAUUUUAUUUGUCAGCCACUAUUGCAUUUGUAGUAGUGACUUACAGUUGCUCAAUCCUGCAGGUUGUAUUUUACUUUUAUCUUUUGGACUUGUGCAUGCUGUAACAGAUCAAGACAUUAGCAAGACCUGUGAUGAUUAUUGCCUGUUAAGCCUGUAAAACUCAACUAGUCAACUCGGGUUCCACAGAAAUUGAUUAACUGGGAGCAGCUUAUGUGCGUCACGGGGAGAGACUAUGGUUUCCAUGGCAGAGCAUUGGAAGCUGAUCAGCAGAGUUAUGUAGCAGAGCUUAGACUGACAGCAUCUCAUGACAAGAAGCCAUAUUUGUGAACACAAUAGGCCAGCAUGGCCGGAGGGCAGUGAAAGUCAACACUUGCCAAUGAUGGACCGUGCUGCUGACGCACACCCUGUUGAGUCAUCAGUUACACAUCAAACAUCUGUCUACACAAGCCUGUAAGCCAAUAGAAGUGGAACUAAGAAAGAAAUGGAAACAUUUGGACUUGACAUGCAACAAAAGUUACGGCAUUUUCCAUGAGACGUCUGCUGAGAAUAGGCUACACCGUUGUGAGAAUAAAAAGGAAAUGCUUUCAUUCCUGUUAUGUUUCACUGAAAUCCACAACAAUCAAGGUGGCAAUCAAGUCUAAACACAAGUCUGCAUACUUCCUAUUUCAAAUCCUAAU
Long non-coding RNA from Misgurnus anguillicaudatus (oriental weatherfish), 890 nucleotides. RefSeq lists it as uncharacterized. NCBI's taxonomy places the organism in Eukaryota, Metazoa, Chordata, Actinopteri, Cypriniformes, Cobitidae. The record is from RefSeq and is a predicted model, not a curated record.